This 27-nucleotide non-coding RNA is filed under the name Homo sapiens (human). Lineage: Eukaryota; Metazoa; Chordata; Mammalia; Primates; Hominidae. The record is from RNAcentral.
UGGUGAUUAGAUUCCUAAGAUCAUAGC